UACGAAGGGGGCUAGCGUUGCUCGGAAUUACUGGGCGUAAAGCGCACGUAGGCGGUCUUUUAAGUCGGUGGUGAAAUCCUGGAGCUCAACUCCAGAACUGCCUUCGAUACUGGAAGACUUGAGUCCGGGAGAGGUGAGUGGAACUGCGAGUGUAGAGGUGGAAUUCGUAGAUAUUCGCAAGAACACCAGUGGCGAAGGCGGCUCACUGGCCCGGUACUGACGCUGAGGUGCGAAAGCGUGGGGAGCAAACAGG
Molecule: ribosomal RNA, 253 nt
Filed under: uncultured bacterium
Lineage: Bacteria
Description: partial 16S ribosomal RNA
Rfam family: Bacterial small subunit ribosomal RNA
Source: RNAcentral